AGACAGUGACUCAGCAGGCGAUGGAACCAUGAAAGCAUGCGUUCUUGAUCGCAAGAUCAUGAAACUAGGUCUUCUGAGUGUAACGAAUGGGAAAAUCCAGUAUCUAUCAAGGAGGACAUAGAUAAGAAUGGUGCAAUAUGUCGCAAACCUGUGAAUUGUAGGAGGGAUAUUAAAGCUAUUGCGGCUAUAUGUACUGGAAACAACAAUGACUUUGUUCGGACCAGGUUCAUGGUGGUUAAAAAAAUUGGUACCAAUGGUAUUCUCUCGAUUGAAGGAAAGCAAUGUAGGCGACAUAUCUGGUGUAAGGUGCAAGGCUCUUCUUCAAGACAAGCUCUAAGGGAUCAUGGAUAUAGUUGCUACUAAAUGUCUUUGUUUUGGUGUAAGGUGCAAGGCUCUUCUUCAAGACAUUGCAAUUGUCACUGGCUGAGUGGGGGUAGUGCAUGUCAUACAUGAACUCGUCCUCAAGGACCAACGAGGCAACAUUGAAGCCGCCGCCGUUCAGUACCUUCAUAGCUUGUCAACACUGGCAUCCAAAGACCAAUGGUCCUAGGCGUAUCGGUCUGACAUGAUCUUGUGUGGCUUCGGACGUGCUACAGCUGGGAUGGCCUCCCGAGGCUCGCGUGUGAUGUUGGCUGACGCUACUCGGCGAAGUGCUUCCGCAAGGUGCAGUGCCCCACCAUCGAGCAGCUCGCCAACUUCCUCAUGAUGCCUGGCUGCAACAACGGGAAAACGACCAUGGAGAUCAUCGACUACACCCACAGAUCAUCGUUGAUGCCAUCAUUGGUAGCUGCGCUGUGAGCCUCUCUCAGUUCCGUUCUUUUCUCUGCAAUCCUACUUGCCUGGUGAUGCUUGUUUCCGCGCACUUGUAGAUUAGUAUUAUUAGAUCAUGUCAGUUGUAUUAGUGGAUAUCUUCAGGAUAAUGUGUUGCUGUUAAGUUUAUUGUACUAUUUGCUGCUAUGACAUGAUCUUGGACGGUGUUGUAGUAGAACAACAUCGGUUUAAUUUGUGGCAGUAUACUUAUUGGCUUUGUUUGAUAGGUCUGAUUGGAAUGGUAGCUACACGUCAUGGGGGCCCAUUCUUGUGAGGCGAGUCCAUGUCGCCCGAAGCCCACCGUAGCAACCUCGACUCCGUUAUUCAGGAUCUCCUCGGCAUCGGAAACCCAAAGGGGCCGGGAAUGAUGGGGACUGCACCUGCUCGCUCCGGUGGUGUUGCUGUUGUGUUGGUUGUGGCCUCCUGCGCCUCGCGCAUGGUUGUAGGACAGGCGGCGGCGCCGAGUGAGGAUGGGCUGGAGAUAACCUGGCUGGUCUGACGCGUCACCGGGAACUCGUUUGUGGUGUUGCGAGAGAGCAACUUGAUGUGGAGUGCAAACUGCAUGCUAUAUAUUCAAGUUGAGAACCUGGUGGUGGAGCAGCAACGGCACCUACAUUGCGAGAUCAUGCAACAAGGCCACAUUCCAGAGUUCUACCUAUUGCGGUGCUUGGUGCUUGAUCCGGAAAAUCUGAGCUGCACAGUGUGUCAAGUUUUUCCACUGGCUAGCGAACAUUGGCCGCUGCUGGAGUGCCGCCUGCCUACAGCGUCGGGGACUCCAACACCACCCUAGCUGACUCCUCCGCGACCACGAGAUGGAAACAAUCCAACACAUGAUGAUGGGUUGCUGCUUCUGCUGCCAGGCCUAGUUUGAGUUCUUUCCUGGCUGCGGGAACUUGCAAACCGCCAAAGCAGGACGAUACACUCCAGGACUGAUGGUGCCAGGCCAAACAAGCGACACCAAAGCAUCUGCACAAAGGCCUCGUCUGCAUCGCUCGGCUGACACCUUGGCUAAUCUGGAAGCACCGCAAUGAAUGUGUUUCUAAAGGAGCCCGUGACCAACAUCAAGGAGGAAGUUGCCCUUUGGGCAAGAUCCUCUGUGUAAUGCUGUCGUAGACCUGGGAUACACACUUAGUUGCAUUUUGCGUUUUACGAGGCGUGUAACAACCAACUCUAUCUCUCUUGUCAACGAAAUGAAACACAAAGGUUUUUUGUGUUUUCUUGAAAAAAUGAACCUGGUCGUGGACCUGCAUGCAUACUGUUGUAUUGCCUAGAUGCCACCAGGUGUUGAAUUGUUGGUGCCUAUCUGCUGUUGGUCUUGCAAACGAACAUGCAUGUUGGAUGCUGGCAUUUGGUUAGCUGUUGAUUUGAACAAGUUCAGUGAAUUUGUUGUGCAAUAU
Molecule: long non-coding RNA, 2207 nt
Organism: Lolium rigidum
Lineage: Eukaryota; Viridiplantae; Streptophyta; Magnoliopsida; Poales; Poaceae
Exons: 8
Source: RefSeq, a predicted model, not a curated record